GAGCUUGCUUGGACAAAUGAAAACUGCUAAUUUCUCAUAAUCAUGGUUCAACUCCAUGAGCUGCUCG
This 67-nucleotide transfer RNA is filed under the name Cophixalus sp. TNHC 54754. Its description in RNAcentral is "tRNA-Ser". The record is from RNAcentral. Lineage: Eukaryota; Metazoa; Chordata; Amphibia; Anura; Microhylidae.